RNAcentral lists this transfer RNA (76 nucleotides) under Actinomycetes bacterium. RNAcentral's name for it is "tRNA-Phe". It matches the Rfam family "tRNA". From Rfam's summary of the family: Transfer RNA (tRNA) molecules are approximately 80 nucleotides in length. Their secondary structure includes four short double-helical elements and three loops (D, anti-codon, and T loops). The record is from RNAcentral. Lineage: Bacteria; Bacillati; Actinomycetota; Actinomycetes.
GGCCGGGUAGCUCAGUUGGUAGAGCAGCGGACUGAAAAUCCGCGUGUCGACGGUUCAAGUCCGCCUCCGGCCACCA